GACGAACGCUGGCGGCGUGCUUAACACAUGCAAGUCGAACGGAAAGGCCCUGCUUUUGUGGGGUGCUCGAGUGGCGAACGGGUGAGUAACACGUGAGUAACCUGCCCUUGACUUUGGGAUAACUUCAGGAAACUGGGGCUAAUACCGGAUAGGAGCUCCUGCUGCUUGGUGGGGGUUGGAAAGUUUCGGCGGUUGGGGAUGGACUCGCGGCUUAUCAGCUUGUUGGUGGGGUAGUGGCUUACCAAGGCUUUGACGGGUAGCCGGCCUGAGAGGGUGACCGGCCACAUUGGGACUGAGAUACGGCCCAGACUCCUACGGGAGGCAGCAGUGGGGAAUAUUGCACAAUGGGCUGGAGGCUGAUGCAGCAACGCCGCGUGCGGGAUGACGGGCUUCGGGUUGUAAACCGCUUUCGUCUGUGACGAGGCGUGAGUGACGGUAAUGGGUAAAGAAGCACCGGCUAACUACGUG
Molecule: ribosomal RNA, 468 nt
Filed under: uncultured bacterium
Lineage: Bacteria
Description: partial 16S ribosomal RNA
Rfam family: Bacterial small subunit ribosomal RNA
Source: RNAcentral